RNAcentral lists this ribosomal RNA (508 nucleotides) under uncultured soil bacterium. RNAcentral's name for it is "bacterial SSU rRNA". It matches the Rfam family "Bacterial small subunit ribosomal RNA", at positions 26 to 532 of the family's 1533-position model. The record is from RNAcentral.
AGAUUGAACGCUGGCGGCAGGCCUAACACAUGCAAGUCGAGCGGUAGAGAGGUGCUUGCAUCUCUUGAGAGCGGCGGACGGGUGAGUAAUGCCUAGGAAUCUGCCUAGUGGUGGGGGAUAACGUUCGGAAACGGACGCUAAUACCGCAUACGUCCUACGGGAGAAAGCGGGGGACCUUCGGGCCUCGCGCCAUUAGAUGAGCCUAGGUCGGAUUAGCUAGUUGGUGAGGUAAUGGCUCACCAAGGCGACGAUCCGUAACUGGUCUGAGAGGAUGAUCAGUCACACUGGAACUGAGACACGGUCCAGACUCCUACGGGAGCAGCAGUGGGAAUAUUGGACAAGUGGGCGAAAAGCCUGAUCCAGCCAUGCCGCGUGUGUGAAGAAGGUCUUCGGAUUGAAAGCAACUUUUAAGUGGAGGUAAGGUUGUAACCUAAUACGUUGACAACUUUGACGUUUAACCGACAAGAAGUAAAGCGUAACCGGCUAAACUUCGUAGUCCAAGCCAGUA